Molecule: ribosomal RNA, 253 nt
Filed under: uncultured bacterium
Lineage: Bacteria
Description: partial 16S ribosomal RNA
Rfam family: Bacterial small subunit ribosomal RNA
Source: RNAcentral
UACAGAGGGUGCGAGCGUUAAUCGGAAUUACUGGGCGUAAAGCGCGCGUAGGCGGCUUUGCAAGUCGGGUGUGAAAUCCCCAGGCUUAACCUGGGAACUGCAUUCGAGACUGCAUUGCUAGAGUAUGGGAGAGGGAGGUGGAAUUUCCGGUGUAGCGGUGAAAUGCGUAGAUAUCGGAAGGAACAUCAGUGGCGAAAGCGGCUUCCUGGACCAGCACCGACGUUCAGGCACGAAAGCGUGGGGAGCAAACAGG